AGAACCUUACCAGCCCUUGACAUACCAAUCGCGAUCUCCAGAGAUGGAUUUCUUCAGUUCGGCUGGAUUGGAUACAGGUGCUGCAUGGCUGUCGUCAGCUCGUGUCGUGAGAUGUUGGGUUAAGUCCCGCAACGAGCGCAACCCUCGCCCUUAGUUACCAUCAUUUAGUUGGGUACUCUAGGGGGACUGCCGGUGACAAGCCGGAGGAAGGUGGGGAUGACGUCAAGUCCUCAUGGCCCUUAUGGGCUGGGCUACACACGUGCUACAAUGGCAAUGACAGUGGGCAGCAACCUCGCGAGAGGAAGCUAAUCUCUAAAAAUUGUCUCAGUUCGGAUUGUUCUCUGCAACUCGAGAGCAUGAAGUCGGAAUCGCUAGUAAUCGCGUAUCAGCAUGACGCGGUGAAUACGUUCCCGGGCCUUGUACACACCGCCCGUCACACCAUGGGAGUUGGUUUUACCCGAAGACGGUGCGCUAACCGCAAGGAGGCAACCGGCCACGGUAAGGUCAGCGACUGGGGUGAAGUCGUAACAAGGUAGCCGUA
This 541-nucleotide ribosomal RNA is filed under the name uncultured bacterium. Its description in RNAcentral is "bacterial SSU rRNA". It matches the Rfam family "Bacterial small subunit ribosomal RNA", at positions 965 to 1504 of the family's 1533-position model. The record is from RNAcentral.